CCUACGGGCGGCAGCAGUGGGGAAUAUUGCACAAUGGGGGCAACCCUGAUGCAGCGACGCCGCGUGAGUGAAGAAGUACUUCGUUAUGUAAAGCUCUAUCAGCAGGGAAGAAAAUGACGGUACCUGAGUAAGAAGCUCCGGCUAACUACGUGCCAGCAGCCGCGGUUAUACGUAGGGGGCGAGCGUUAUCCGGAUUUACUGGGUGUAAAGGGAGCGUAGACGGGAGUGCAAGUCUGGAGUGAAAGGCGGGGGCUCAACCCCCGGACUGCUAUUGAAACUGGACGGCUGGAGUGCAGGAGAGGUAAGCGGAAUUCGUGGUGUAGCGGUGAAAUGCGUAGAUAUUAGGAGGAACACCAGUGGCGAAGGCGGCUUACUGGACUGUAACUGACGUUGAGGCUCGAAAGCGUGGGGAGCAAACAGGAUUAGAUACCCCAGUAGUC
Molecule: ribosomal RNA, 440 nt
Filed under: uncultured bacterium
Lineage: Bacteria
Description: partial 16S ribosomal RNA
Rfam family: Bacterial small subunit ribosomal RNA
Source: RNAcentral